GACGAACGCUGGCGGCGUGCUUAACACAUGCAAGUCGAACGGAAAGGCCCUGCUUUUGUGGGGUGCUCGAGUGGCGAACGGGUGAGUAACACGUGAGUAACCUGCCCUUGACUUUGGGAUAACUUCAGGGAACUGGGGCUAAUACCGGAUAGGAGCUACUGCUGCAUGGUGGGGGUUGGAAAGUUUCGGCGGUUGUGGCUGGACUAGCGGCUUAUCAGCUUGUUGGGGGGGUAGUGGUUUACCAAGGCUGUGACGGGUAGCCGGCCUGAGAGGGUGACCGGCCACAUUGGGCCUGAGAUACGGCCCAGACGCCUACGGGAGGCAGCAGGGGGGAAUAUUGCGGAAUGGGCGGAAGCCAGAUGCAGCAACGCCGCGAGCGGGAUGACGGCCUUUGGGGGGUAAACCGCUGUCGCCGGUGAUGAAGCGUUAGUGACGGUAAUUGGUAAGGAAGCACCGGCUAACUACGUG
RNAcentral lists this ribosomal RNA (468 nucleotides) under uncultured bacterium. RNAcentral describes it as "partial 16S ribosomal RNA". It matches the Rfam family "Bacterial small subunit ribosomal RNA", at positions 28 to 507 of the family's 1533-position model. The record is from RNAcentral.